Molecule: ribosomal RNA, 401 nt
Filed under: Mauginiella scaettae
Lineage: Eukaryota; Fungi; Ascomycota
Description: partial large subunit ribosomal RNA
Rfam family: Eukaryotic large subunit ribosomal RNA
Source: RNAcentral
GACGAGUCGAGUUUUUUGGGAAGGCAGCUUAAAAUGGGAGGUAAAUUUCUUUUAAAGCUAAUUAUUGGCCAGAGACCGAUAGCGCUCAAGUAGAGUGAUCGAAAGAUGAAAAGCACUUUGGAAAGAGAGUCAAAUAGCACGUGAAUUUGUUGAAAGGGAAGCGCUUGCAGCCAGACUUGCCUGUAGUUGCUUAUCUGGGCUUUUGCCUAGUGCACUUUUCUGCGGGCAGGCCAGCAUCAGUUUGGGCGGUUGGAUAAGGGUUUCUGUCAUGUACUUCCUUUCGGGGAGGACUUAUAGGGGAGGCGACAUGCAACCAGCCUGGACUGAGGUCCGCGCAUCUGCUAGGAUGCUGGCGUAAUGGCUGUAAGCGGCCCGUCUUAAACACGGACCCAGGGGGUCCA